Molecule: ribosomal RNA, 1557 nt
Filed under: metagenome
Description: bacterial LSU rRNA
Rfam family: Bacterial large subunit ribosomal RNA
Source: RNAcentral
AAAGGUUUCCAGAGUAAAGCUGAUCUGCUCUGGGUAAGUCGGGGCCUAAGGCGAGGACGAGAGUCGUAGCCGAUGGACAACAGGUGGAGAUUCCUGUACUGCGGUAUGACAGAACUGUGGGGACACGUAAGGAAAGCGGAAGCCGGGAAUGGAGAGCCCGGUGCAAGCGGGGUACCAGUCACUUUGGCAAAUCCGGGUGGCAAUGGGAAGCCGUGAUGCGGAGCGAAAUAAAGUAGCGAAGUCCGUGAGCCAUGCGUCAAGAAAAGCCGCUUUCGUUUAUACCGUACCCGUACCGUAAACCGACACAGGUGGAUGAGGAGAGAAUCCUAAGGCCGGCGGAAGAAGCAUUGUCAAGGAACUCGGCAAAAUGGCCCCGUAACUUAGGGAUAAGGGGUGCCUGGGAAACCAGGCCGCAGAGAAUAGGCUCAAGCAACUGUUUAGCAAAAACACAGGUCUAUGCGAAACCGAAAGGUGAGGUAUAUGGGCUGACGCCUGCCCGGUGCUGGAAGGUUAAGAGGAGAGGUUAGCGGUAACGCGAAGCUUUGAAUUUAAGCCCCAGUAAACGGCGGCCGUAACGAUAACGGUCCUAAGGUAGCGAAAUUCCUUGUCGGGUAAGUUCCGACCCGCACGAAAGGCGUAAUGAUUUGAGCGCUGUCUCGACAAUGCAUCCGGUGAAAUUGAAGUACCAGUGAAGAUGCUGGUUACCUGCGCCAGGACGGAAAGACCCCAUGGAGCUUUACUCCAGUCUGGUACUGGGACUCGGUAUUGCAUGUACAGGAUAGGUGGGAGGCUAGGAGAUGGUAACGCCAGUUGCCAUGGAGCCGCUGUUGGGAUACCACCCUUGCAGUAUUGUGUUUCUAACCAGCCGCCGUGACCCGGCGGUGGGACAAUGCCAGACGGGGAGUUUGACCGGGGCGGUCGCCUCCGAAAGGGUAUCGGAGGCGCCCAAAGGUUCCCUCAGAAUGGACGGAAACCAUUCGAAGAGUGCAAAGGCAGAAGGGAGCUUGACUGCGACACCGACGGGUGGAGCAGGUACGAAAGUAGGGCUUAGUGAUCCGGUGGUAUUAAGUGGGAAUGCCAUCGCUCAACGGAUAAAAGCUACCCUGGAUAACAGGCUUAUCACUCCCAAGAGUUCACAUCGACGGAGUGGUUUGGCACCUCGAUGUCGGCUCAUCGCAUCCUGGGGCUGUAGUAGGUCCCAAGGGUUGGGCUGUUCGCCCAUUAAAGCGGUACGCGAGCUGGGUUCAGAACGUCGUGAGACAGUUCGGUCCCUAUCCGGCGUGGGCGUAGGAUAUCUGAGAGGAGCUGUCCUUAGUACGAGAGGACCGGGAUGGACGGGCCGCUGGUGCAUCGGUUAGACUGCCAAGUCUACGGCCGAGUAGCCAAGCCCGGAAGGGAUAAACGCUGAAGGCAUCUAAGCGUGAAGCCCCCCUUAAGAUGAGAUAUCCCAUUCGUGAAGAAGUAAACCCCCUUGAAGACGACGAGGUAGAUAGGGCAGAGGUGGAAGUGCAGUAAUGCAUGGAGCUGACUGUUACUAAUCGGGUGAGGGCUUGACCG